RNAcentral lists this ribosomal RNA (292 nucleotides) under uncultured bacterium. RNAcentral's name for it is "partial 16S ribosomal RNA". It matches the Rfam family "Bacterial small subunit ribosomal RNA", at positions 505 to 796 of the family's 1533-position model. The record is from RNAcentral.
GUUUCAGCCGCCGCGGUAAUACGUAGGGUGCGAGCGUUAAUCGGAAUUACUGGGCGUAAAGCGUGCGCAGGCGGUGAUGUAAGACAGAUGUGAAAUCCCCGGGCUCAACCUGGGACCUGCAUUUGUGACUGCAUCGCUAGAGUACGGUAGAGGGGGAUGGAAUUCCGCGUGUAGCAGUGAAAUGCGUAGAUAUGCGGAGGAACACCGAUGGCGAAGGCAAUCCCCUGGACCUGUACUGACGCUCAUGCACGAAAGCGUGGGGAGCAAACAGGAUUAGAAACCCGAGUAGUCC